AUUCGCAACGAAAUCACCAUAAUUGCGAUUAUUGCGCCAAAGCAUUGGUUAACUACAACGUCAUAGAUAUUUUUAUAAAAUGAAAUAAAUUAUAAAUUGACCUUUGGUAUUACCAAUACUUAAACUAUUAGUUGAAUUUAACGUUAACUACCUUUUGCAGUAGGUGUGUGUGAUCUUAGCGACAGGUAUGGGCAAAAUAUGAACGAGGAAACAAGCAACGAUUAUGAUUGCAGUUGUUUGCACAGCCACAGAUGAAUCGAUCUUUGUUUCGAUAAAAUAAAGAAGGAAUUGUGAAGUAGAUUUGUUGUUAAUGUUUUUCGAUUACUUUAAACUUGUUUGCGUUUUAUGAUGUUAAAAAACUUUUAGGAAUAUAUCUGUAUGAAUAGUUUGGGUGCAAAUCAGUCAUAGAGUCAAUAUUUGUUCGUAUAGAAUUUUAUUUUUCUUUUUUUCUACAAUCAGACAUACUGUAUAUAUAAAACAAGCAAUAGAUAUUCGCGAAUUAAAUUUAUUGUUUGCCUCUUAAUUAUUAAAUAAUUAUUGCGCAUUUGAGUCAGUGCAUCAGAGAAGAUGAUCAAGGACCUAUUACACUUCUAUAGAAGAAUAUUGAUUUGCAUUGUCAUUAAGUCAAUGUAUUACAAAUUCAAUCUAAUUAAUUUUCCAUCUACGUCGAUUUAUUUCAUUUUGGACUUAUUACGGAACAGUUUACAUAAAUUUCGAGCUACAACGGGGCAAGUGUUUCGGAGCUAUUGUGAAUCUUAAGCAGUAUAAUACAUAAAAUUCUAUGAGUCGACGAAGUUGGAAAUAUAAAGCACAGUGAAGAUCAUGUGUUAUAUUUUGCUGUUUUUCUUAUGUAGUCGAUAGGUAAGUGUGUUGUUAAAAAAAAAGGUCAAGUUUGUUUUGAUAUAUGAAGGAACGUAAAUACGAAUAAAUCUUCUGUUACAUUAUCAGAAAUGACAUUGUUAAUGGUUCUCGGAAAUUUGUUUUCGUGUACAACUUUAUGAGAGAAUUGUGCCUGGGAUGAUGUACCAUGGUAUAGAUGACCUCUCCUACUCAGAAUGAUACGAUACCUACACGCAAUAACAUUCUCGGCUAUUCUUCUGUUGUAUUAUGAUUGCAGUUGUUCGUGCAGACAUAGAUGAAUCGAUCUUUGUUUCGAUAAAGUAAUGAAAGAAUUGUGAAGUAGAUUUGUUGUUAAUGUUUUUCAGUUAAUUUAAAUUUGUUUGCAUUUUAUGAUGUUAAAAAACUUUUAUGAAUAUGUCUGUAUGAAUAAUUUGGGUCCAAAGCAGUCAUAGAAUCAAUAUUUGUUCAUAUAAAAUUUUAUUUUUCUUUUUCUCUACAAUCAGAUAUACUGUAGAUACUUAUAUAUAAAACAAGCAAUAGAUAUUCGCGAAUUAAAAUCAUUGUUUGCAUCUUAAUUAUUAAAUAAUUAUUGCGCAUUUAAGUCAGUGCAUCAUGGAAGAUGAUCAAGGACCUAUUACACUUCUGUAGAAGAAUAUUGAUACUCACGACCCACCAAGGCCCUACCCGCUCAGCCUCGGUGUAUGCAGUGCUCCCCACUUACAUCACAGAAUCCACCCCACCACCUCAGAUUUGGGCCAGCGGUGGACCAGUGAGAAAGCACCACGUGCCGCCGAACGCUGAGUGACUUGGACAUAUAUGAGACUGCACAAAGCACCUCCAUGGUUGUUGCUUCGGAUCUUCCGAUGAGUAGACAUCUCUUGAGAGAGUCGAGACGAAUCACGCGCAUCUCUUGAGUUUAGAGUUUUCAUCUGCACGCGUAAAUGUACAAUUAGUUAUAUUUUCAAAUAAAAGUUUUGUUUUUUUUGAACGUCUCAAUUUAGUAACCCCGGUUGUAUUCGUAACGGUUCCUUUCAUCGCGCAUGUCUUUAACUCAGGAGCUAGUUUUCGCGACGCAGUCGACAAAUUCAACGCGACAGUGCAAUUUGUUCAUCCUCUACCGCACAGGUAGAAAUCCUAUUAAUCCGCUUACCCAUCCUCAUUGCUCUCGUAUAUCGUGGUGGCAGGAAGUACCAAUUGCGUCGCUUAUUAAAGGAAUUCUAUUACGAAACGAAAAAUAACAACGACGCACUGGAUAUCGAACCUGUGGAAGAGAAAGAAGAGAACUUUCACAUCUGAUCUUUAUUUAAGAAUUAUGCAGUCAUCCAGAAGGUGAAUUCCUCCACUGGACCUUCCAGGCUUGGUUGCUAGGACUCCGAGGUAUUUGGAGAUAAAGCUUCAGCAUCGUCUGAAAUCACCCUCCCAAGAGGUAAGAGAGCGUUUGCAACGUCGCUUUAAUACUCUGGUGCCAAUCCCGAGUCAAAAGAACUGCCCAGGCAGGUAACGGCCGAAAAGGCACAAGAUCUCGUGAAAGCCGGAGCUUCAUAGAAAAUUAGUUUUAUUAAGGAUCGUACGUAGUGUCAGUUUAUUAAGGAUCAUACGUAACAUGUCAGAAAUAAAAGUCGGUGACAGUUGUGGGAUUACGAAAAGAAACAGAAUGUCGAACGAAAAGCAAUCGCAAUCGAAAUCCACCGGCAAAAUUGAAACGCGAAGCGGUGUUAGACGCGUUAACGAGAACGAGUACUAAGAAAUUAGCCGUAGACUUCGACAAAAAGAAAUACAUAUUCUAGAGCGUCAGAAAGCUCUAUCCGAACGUGAAGAACUAACUAAGAAACUAGACAAUUAAACCAGAUUUCACCUCGUUCAAAUCUUCAUUGCGGGAAAUAUUAAACGCACAGCGACAGGUAGAUGAUAGGCGGAGGGGCUCACGCCGUUGCGAAGCACGUGAUUUAUCAAUUCGCGCAGCUGUGGACGCUGUUUCGACCUACGAUGGGCGAAAUAUAACGAUAAAUAAUUUUAUUCGAGCAUGCAAACGCGCUCCUGAAUUAACACCGCCAAAUAGUAAGGCAAUAGUAACUCGUCUCAUUAUAAAUAAUCUUAGGGAUUUAGCUUACAUCGCCGUAGGAGAUCGGGAAAUACUUACGCUAGACGAUCUAUGCAACAUGCUACGCAGGAGUUUCUUCAGGAUAAGGUUAAAAUCGCACCUAACAACAGUAUAUGGCCGAAUUAAGUAACAUCUGCAUGGAACUCGACGAGCAUAUUUUGCAAUACAUAAAUAGAAUUAAAGAUUUACAGCAGGCAAUUUACAAGGAAGAGAGACUUAAAGAUAAUGAGUUAUCGGAAGAGAAUAUUAUCGAGAUAGAGGAAUUUUCACUGGUAAGUUUCUGCGAAGGUCUUCCGCGAAAUGGUAGGAUAGAAAUCAAACCAACUGCAGGGACAUAUUCGAUGCAUAUGAGAAGGCACAGGAACAUUAUCUGAUGAUUGAGCAAGACCGACUGCAUCAUCAAAGAUAUAAACAAACCAAACUUCUUAGGGAUAGACCGUUAAACAGUAGUAGAAUGGAAACUAGGGAUAGACAAUCGCGAGAGAUAAAUUUCAAGCCGACGCCAAAAUUUUGUGCGCACUGUAACAAGAUCGGUCACGUGAAAGAGAUCAUUAAAUACAAAGAAUUUUUGAUGUAAUCAAAGUAUGUUAUAAAGUUCAUAUUUUAUAAAAUGUUUGUUAAUUUAAAAACAGGAUUGUAAUAUCAUUAGAUAUAAUUGUUUUAGAGCAAGACAUUUAGAUUAGGAUCUACGCGAUUCAUCCUCUACUCUUACUUGUGCGAUUUUCAUAAAAAUAUUUGUCAUGCAGAUUUCAUCUUUUGAAGAGUUGAUUGAAUUUCAUCAAAUGUUAAUUCCUAAUCAGAUUCAUUGCUUUUAAAUAGAAUAUUUUGGAUUGUUGCGAUCAUCAAUGGCAAACUGACUUUAAUACAAUUCUAACAAAACAUUUCUAUGAAAAUUAUAUUCUCUAACCUUCCACAUAAAGUAUUAUUAAUUAUAACAUGAUAAAUGAUUUUAAUACUUUUUUAUUAUGACAAUAAUUAGAAUACAUAACAUAAUUUUUACGCAAGAUUACACUAUGCUUGAUUUCGUAUUAUCGGAUUGUUCAAAAUGUCUUUUCAUUAAUCAAUCAAUUUUUUUCUGUAAUCUUAUCUCCGGUAUGAACAAUAUACAAAGAAGAAUAAACAAGAUAGCAUUUUUAACAUUAGCAAGCUAAAAAUUAUUUUAAAAAUACAAUUUAAAUAUAGAAGGUGUCGAUAAGGCUAAUCAAUAUGCAAAUUCAUAUUGUUUAAUGAGAAAUUCGUGUAAUUGGCGGAGAAAUUUUUUUUGGGGGGAUUAGAGAUAUGCGCAAACUGUAGCUAAUACAAGGUGUGAGUUAGAAGAGAAAACUAAACGCCUAAGUCACAUUUUAUGUUUGUUCGGAGAUUGCGGGAACAACUUAUACGUGAUUUUCGUGAUGGAGCAUCUUUAAUAGUUACAGCAGAUCGAACAAUAACAAAAUAGACUAUUAUGUUUAUUAUAACUGUUGUAGGUUCCAACAUUACUAUAACUCAUAGGUACAUUUUAAUUUCAAAAUCAAAAAUGCAUAAAAAAGAAAGUAUAUUUUUUAAUUAUUUUAACAUUAUUUUUCUAUACUUUUGGAGAUGAGCCAUACGCAGAAUGAUGAUGAUUCCAAGCACGCCCGUAUCGAAUAGCAUUAUAAAAACAAAUCCGUAUAUACCCAAGAUGAAUAAUGCAAACACAUGAGAAAAUGGAAAGUUCAUAAUUCAUACAUUAUUAAAGAAAAGUUGUAGGCAAAUAUAUUUAACUUUAAAAAUUUCUCGAAAAAAUUUAAUUGACCCUUUGUUUAAAUCAUUUCAAUUCUUUUAUUUCAAUUAUUUCAGAGAAAUAAGUAUGCGGUCAAAUAGGAAUUCAAUUAGCGUUAAAUAUGAUUUUAAUGGAAACAAUAUAAAAAUUAA
Vespa crabro (European hornet) is the source of this 4834-nucleotide long non-coding RNA. RefSeq lists it as uncharacterized. Lineage: Eukaryota; Metazoa; Arthropoda; Insecta; Hymenoptera; Vespidae. The transcript is spliced from 7 exons. The record is from RefSeq and is a predicted model, not a curated record.